Aedes aegypti (yellow fever mosquito) is the source of this 73-nucleotide non-coding RNA. Lineage: Eukaryota; Metazoa; Arthropoda; Insecta; Diptera; Culicidae. The record is from Rfam.
CCUCUCAUGGCGUAGUGGUAACGCGCCCCAACCAGAGGUCGGGGAGUCGUGAGUUCGAUUCUCACUGAGAAGA